This 465-nucleotide ribosomal RNA is filed under the name uncultured Klebsiella sp. RNAcentral describes it as "bacterial SSU rRNA". It matches the Rfam family "Bacterial small subunit ribosomal RNA", at positions 338 to 795 of the family's 1533-position model. The record is from RNAcentral. Lineage: Bacteria; Pseudomonadati; Pseudomonadota; Gammaproteobacteria; Enterobacterales; Enterobacteriaceae.
CCUACGGGCGGCUGCAGUGGGGAAUAUUGCACAAUGGGCGCAAGCCUGAUGUAGCCAUGCCGCGUGUGUGAAGAAGGCCUUCGGGUUGUAAAGCACUUUCAGCGGGGAGGAAGGCGUUAAGGUUAAUAACCUUGUCGAUUGACGUUACCCGCAGAAGAAGCACCGGCUAACUCCGUGCCAGCAGCCGCGGUAAUACGGAGGGUGCAAGCGUUAAUCGGAAUUACUGGGCGUAAAGCGCACGCAGGCGGUCUGUCAAGUCGGAUGUGAAAUCCCCGGGCUCAACCUGGGAACUGCAUUCGAAACUGGCAGGCUAGAGUCUUGUAGAGGGGGGUAGAAUUCCAGGUGUAGCGGUGAAAUGCGUAGAGAUCUGGAGGAAUACCGGUGGCGACGGCGGCCCCCUGGACAAAGACUGACGCUCAGGUGCGAAAGCGUGGGGAGCAAACAGGAUUAGAUACCCCGGUAGUC